UAGGCUAGAAGCCAGUCGAUCUAUUCCUGAGCUAGAUGAAGGGGGGCGAAAGCCCCCUGGAGGUCUUAAGACGUUCUGACGUGCAAAUCGUUGUUGUGACUUGGGAAUAGGGGUCAAAAACCAAUCUAGACUGGCGCUCGCUAGUUCCAACCGAAGCGUCUCGCAGGGCGUGGUUUGUGGAGAUAGCGUUUCCGGUAGAGCACUGAUAGAAGGGCGCGGGGGAGAAAUCCCUCACCCUCCAUUCAAACUCCGAACGGAUACGCAUCGUAGAAGCAGGCACACGGGCUCAUGUGGCGUAAGGCUCAUGGCCGAAAGGGGUUUAACCCAGACUGAAGUUAAGGUCCCCAAAUUUUUGCUAAGUGUCAAGCGAAAGAGCGUGUUCUCGCCAAGACAGCAGGGAGGUAAGCUCAGAAGCAGCUAUCCUUUAAAAAAUGUGUAACAACUUACCUGCCGAGGGGGGAUGCCUCAAAAACGGACGGGGCUAAAGCAAAAUACCGAUACUUUAGAUAAUUAUCAUUAGAUAAUUCGUGGUAGGUUGGCGUAGUGAUUGGGUCGAAGCAGGGCGAUGACGUCCUGUGGACCGAUUUCUAUUGCAGAUCUUGGCGGCAGUAACAGCAUAGUAUUGUGAGAAACAAUACCACCGCAAGCGCAAGGGUUUCCAGGCAAUGCGUUAUCAGCCUGGAGGUAGUCGAUCCUAAGAUGUGCCUCAACAGAGUACAUCGAAUGGGAAAUCAGUUAAUAUUCUGAUACCUUGUAACAAUCGUUUGAGCUAUAUGAUUCGCUUCCGGAUAAGGAGUGUACAACUAUCGUUGUAUCCAAGCAUUCGAGGAUUGGGGAGUGUCGUAAUGACGAGAACCUUUCCGAGGUGUUAGUGGCUUCGCGUUAGCGAAGUUUUCUUGAUUCCAGGAGACCAUGAAAGAUUGUGUAGUUAGAAAGUAACAAGUUCGUACCCAGAACCGACACAGGUGCGCUGGCUUAGAAAGCUAAGGUGCUACGGGUAUACCGUAUGGCGAGGGAAUUCGGCAAAUUAGUCCUGUAGCUUAGGUAUAAGGGAUGCCUGCGGGCUUCAUGAGGAAUGGGGUCCGCAGGUUGCAAUAACAAGGGGGUUCCGACUGUUUAAUAAAAACACAGGCGACUGCUAGUCCGAAAGGAUUUGUAUAGUCGCUGAAUCCUGGCCGGUGCCGGUACCUAAAACUUGGGUUCAACCGAGCUAAGGGCCGGUUAACGCCGGGAGUAACUCUGACUCUCUUAAGGUAGCCAAAUGCCUUGUCGGGUAAGUUCCGACGCGCAUGAAUGGAACAACGAGAGCCCCACUGUCCCCGCCUACAACCCGGUGAAGCCACAUAAGGUGGACGAACAGUCCAUCAACUUCCAUCGGGGAGAGAAGACCCCGUGGAGUUUUACUGCAGCUUGUGCUUGUGGUAUAGUAAGAAUUGCACAGUGUAUCUGGGAGCUAUGCUUAACAUUCCCCGGGAUGUUAAUGAAGCAACGAUGUAACACCAGACUCUUUUUGCAGUACCACUUAUCCAGUGAAGACCGGAGACACGUGCAGGUAGGCAGUUCGGCUGGGGCGGCACCCCUUUGAAAAGAUAUCAAAGGGGCCCAAAGUUGAGUUCAAACGGGGCAGAAAUCCGUUGAAGAGGGCAAAGCCAAAAACUCGACUGAAUGGAUUUCCAAACGCACGGAAUUCAUAGACGAAAGUCUGGCUUAGCGAUCCUUCGUGUGCCCACUAUUGGGGCCCGGAGGUGACAGAAAAAUUACCCCAGGGAUAACAGGCUCGUCGCGGGCGAGAGCUCCUAUCGACCCCGCGGUUUGGUACCUCGAUGUCGGCUUUUCCUAUCCUGGUCCUGCAGCAGGGGCCAAGGGUGAGGCUGCUCGCCUAUUAAAAGGGAACAUGAGCUGGGUUUAGACCGUCGUGAGACAGGUCGGUCUCUGCCUGAUGGAAGCGUGAAUAACUGAGGGGAACUUGCUCCUAGUACGAGAGGAACAGAGCAGGGUGGCCACUGGUUUACCGGUUGUCUGAUAAGGCAGGCCGGGCAGCUAAGCCGUUUAGGCUAAGUGCUGAAAGCAUCUAAGCACGAAUCCUAUCCCGAGACAAGUUAUUCU
RNAcentral lists this ribosomal RNA (2106 nucleotides) under seawater metagenome. RNAcentral describes it as "bacterial LSU rRNA". It matches the Rfam family "Archaeal large subunit ribosomal RNA", at positions 786 to 2882 of the family's 2987-position model. The record is from RNAcentral.